ACAUCAUCAGAAUGGAAAUUAUCAAGUUUACUUUAUCAUACGAUUAAUUGAUUAAUUGCUUAUUGCGACAGGCUUAACUCUAUUAGCGUUGCAAGCUAAUCAAACAGCUGCUAGCAUUAAUCUGCAAUUAUAAAUCUUCCUUUAAACCUGCUUUGGCUUCUAUAAUCUUCCUUUCCAGGGUUUCAGAAACCAACAAACUCUUUUUUCCCCCCUUCUGACCUGCAGUCAUGUUCCAUGUAAUCAUUAAUAGCAGAGCGGCGCGUUUCCACUGAAAAGGCCUCCAUUGUUCUUUGUCUACCUUCCUAUGAGAGCUUCUAGCGCUCUGUGGUUUUUUCCCCUAGACUUUUUGUUUGACAGAACCAGGAGUUAUUGGCCACAUGUGCUGCAAUGGUUUCAAUAAUAUUUACUGUUGUGUGUUUAUUUCUACGCUACAGAUGAGGCAGCACGGAGCUGUUUGCAAUUCUGGCACUAGAAAUGAGCCUUAAUGAGGUUUUAACAGGACGAUGUCGUGACUAAAACUGUCGUGGAAAUUACAAAAAAACCUCAAAACAACAUGACGAAACUGCUUUCGUUCAAAACAGAGUAAAAAUACAACCGCAGGAUGAGCAUCAGAUACCGGCUGGGGUUCGACAACAUGACUGAAAAACAUGUAAAUGCAUUUCGUAUCAGCCGAUACUGACAAUUAUUGAUCAGUUUUUUGUUUUGAAUUUCUGAAAUACAGCAAAACUGGUGGCGAGACCUUCCCCGUUUCAUCCACAGUUUUAUCUGCUUCUUGCUUUUAGGCAUUCAUCAGGCAAAGUGGAGAAACCGUAAACUGCUGCUGCGCCAGUUACUCAACAGAUUGUUGCUAGGUAUUAAGAAUGAACUUCAAAGGUUUCUGCAACCAGCUGUUGAGAACAGCGCCAUCUACCUUUUAAAAUAAGGAUCUCAGAUGAACUAAAGAGACGAUUUCCGAGGCUGCUGUGUCACGGUACAGCCACUGUUCAACACAUUUACCAGCUCAGGUCUCGGUUCGGUUGAAGUGAACUCUGGUGAGGUUCGAAAGCAAAUGUGAACACUAAGUGGACCGGAGACCGCUGCUCCAAAAGCAGGAAGUGGACUACAGUGCAGAGCAUUCUGGGUAAAUAAAACCAAAACAAGCAUUUGAGUUUACUGAUAGUAAGAAAUGGCGAAAUGGCUCGUGGUGGUUAACCAGACAAAAGAGAAAUCUUUCAACCACAACAAUCUUUCCAUUUCAUGAAGAAGGAAGUUGCACUCAUGUCUUCUUUGUGUCGCUUCCUUCAGCAGUUCUUGGUGCAGCGCCACCACAGGUAAGGAGGGGAACAGGUUUUUCAAUUAGUUUGGAUGGUUUGACAGAGCAGCGUGAAAGAGAACCGCAGCAGCUGAAAAUGUAACAAAUGUUGUGAUUUUGGUUCCCAAUCAAACUGAAUCUACAGGACUAUCAGGCGUGAAAACAUCCUAAAACUUCUGCCAAGUGCCGUAUUUUGAUUAAAUAAAAACAGGUGACCCAAAGCCAGGAGGACGACAUGUACAGUUUAGGAUGAAGAUGAGUUUAUGCGGCGCCUGAGGCAGCUUCACAUGUCUGCGUGAAAAGCUGAGCUCUGCUGGUGUACAAAACACAAAGAGAUGUCUGGAGCACUGAGGCAGGGCUAGAAAGGCCUCCAGGCUCUCGCUUAAAUCAUGACAGACGCAGACAGAAACGAUGCAGCGUUUGUUCUCCGAACACGAGGCGCGGCUUCCACUCUGACGCCGAGCGAGUCUACGGUUAUUAAUACCAACAACCUUGAGGAAGACUCCUCUGCUUCGCUGUCUGUGUGAGGAACUAGCAGUGUUGCCUUUUAGAAGCGACUGAUGGUGGUUUCCGAGAACCGUCAGAUGCUCUGGUCCCAUCCGACCCAUUUUUACUCUCUGAAUGAGUGGAAAGGUUUCCCAAGUAUUUUUUCAUCUACAUCAAAAUAAAUCCCUCUGUGACGUUUGCUAGUGACAGGUCUGUCAGGAUAACCAAGUUUGCUCCCAGAAGUUAUCGCGAUAAACAAUAAUCCAUCCAUCCAUUUUCUUACACCCUUGUCCCUCAGUGGGGUCGGGA
Poecilia reticulata (guppy) is the source of this 2086-nucleotide non-coding RNA. The record is from RefSeq and is a predicted model, not a curated record. NCBI's taxonomy places the organism in Eukaryota, Metazoa, Chordata, Actinopteri, Cyprinodontiformes, Poeciliidae.